RNAcentral lists this long non-coding RNA (1107 nucleotides) under Varroa destructor (honeybee mite). Its description in RNAcentral is "uncharacterized LOC111247247, transcript variant X3". Lineage: Eukaryota; Metazoa; Arthropoda; Arachnida; Mesostigmata; Varroidae. The record is from RNAcentral.
UUCUCGUUCAGUCUGGCCUUUGUUUGUUCUAGCUUUGCGUAUAGACCGAUCCGUAAGAGUCCGCGUCCGGAAAAUAGUUUUCAUCGGUAGUUAGCCCCUGCUGCCCCGUUCUAGGGGUACGUAUGUUACGAGGCACAUAGCUACAAGUCUUUUCAUAUGCAUACCAAACCGUAGGCACCAUCGACGUAUAUGCCCACACAGUACGGACGUCUACGUACAGCCCGCCAGUCACACAAAUCAUGCCAAUUCCAUGGCGGCGCUUCGAGCUCUACUAUUUAUAGUUUUGAAAAGAUUUCGGGCAAAUAGAACUCAACGGGUCUCCGCGAGUACAGGCGCAACAUUAUAAUCUGUCUUCAACAAUGAUACCCGCUAUAUAUACAGGUUUUGAAGUAAGUUAAUUAGCAUGUGUACGGCAAGUCUAAGUAAACGACGAAGCGUUGUUUUGAUCUGAAGCUUAAUGAAGCGCCGGCUGCGCACACAUCGUAUUAUGGAUACUGAUCUCAGCUUCACGGAAGAGAAUGAGGCGCGAGUCAGGACAAAGGAUCAAGCGGAGAUUCCAGGAGGACGCCGAUCCAUUAAAGUUCAGAGAGCGAUCCGUUUUCGAGAUAAGUAAGCCCGCGCACUCCAAAUGGACAAAUUGGCCUCAUGAUGGGCAACUGCCGUCGUGGAAUUUCGUAACUGUUCUAUGGAUAGCUACAUCGUCGUCUACAUUAAUUGAUAUAUACAAAAUUACCUACAAUAUUGCGUUCAAGUUUGAUGGGGCUGUGCCGGAAAGAUCCACUCGGGUCAUUACAGGCCACGGCCGGUUUAGCUUUGUCCUGGCAAGAUCGUUCGGUUUGCGUCCUCAGUUAGCACCGCAGGUACAUGCCAACGUUAAGCCUAAGUCCUCUGGCUUGACACCACGUUCGAUCAAACUACUACAUUGAAGAAUAUUUUACUAAAUGUGAUCGUUGGUACAGCUGUCCCACAUUGCAUUUUAAAGCACCAGCUAAUUGGGCAUUUUGUUUUUUUUUUGAGAAUGAAUUUAAAAGGUUGAAGAUUUCAUGAAACUCCUCUUGGCUCCGAAAACUUUUCUCGGUUGACACGCUGGAAAACAAUAUCCCUCUG